Gallus gallus (chicken) is the source of this 713-nucleotide long non-coding RNA. RefSeq lists it as uncharacterized. The transcript has 4 exons. The record is from RefSeq and is a predicted model, not a curated record. Lineage: Eukaryota; Metazoa; Chordata; Aves; Galliformes; Phasianidae.
GGGGAAGCCACAGCUGCAGCAGGGAGGCUGCCUGGUGGCAAGGAGCUGCUGGGCUGGAGGUCUCUGAUGACAGACGAGUGGAGCCCCGCAGGAGCCUCUCCUCUCCAGCCACCUGCAAGAGAAAGGAAGAUGCAUGGGUGCCCGAAUGCCCAUUCUGGCCAGGGGAGAUCCACACCCAUGGAGUCAUCACCAGCCAAAGACUUGACGUGGUGACCUCUCCAGGUGGAGAUGUCCCCAAGUAUUGGAGGUAUCUCCAUGGCAUCAGCAGGCAUUUCACCAAGCAGCAGCUGGGACGCAGGCCUCAUGAUCAGAUCAGCUUCUCAGCCCAGAUUUGAGUAAAUCUGAUGCUCAGCUUUCUGAAUUCCAGCUAGUGCCUUAAAGGCUGUCUUCUGCCCAGCAGGGUGAGAUACGGAUCUCUUUCAGAGCCUGCAAGAAUUUUAUACACACAUAACUCCCUGCCCAGGUUGGAAAGCCUGUUUCAUUAUGAGUCCUUCUGCAUAAGAGCCCAGGAAGAAGAACCAUCAUCUCCUUUCGCUCCAGGAACAAAACUCUGCAAAUCUUUCUCAUCGUCUAUUACAGCAGCAUAUCUGCAAUGGCCUGGCAUGGGCCAAAAUCUGUAUACACUUACACUUUUCCCCAGAUAUCUUACAUUUCUGAUUUAGAUUCCUCCUGCCAUGCCCUUUUUUUUUUUUUUUUUUUUUUUUUUUUUUUUU